AGACGGACAAACGUAAAAAGCAUUAAUGACUGGUAACUUAAAGAAAGCAAGAAUAUGCAGGACACACUCCUCUAUGGCACUUUUUUCCUUUGGAUGAGUAAAAAAGAAAACCAGAGGAUGUCACCUUUAAAGACAACACAGUUAAAGCGUUAGCGGUCACCACCUGAACCUACGAGCUUCACAGUGUUGAUGAGAGAUGACAUGAGACGGCAGGAGCUGAUUGACAGACCAAAUCCAUCUCUGGAUAUCCUGUUAAGUCUUUUGCUGUGGACUCUAGUGUUUGUGGUGUGAAUGAUGCUGUGAAUGUGGUCCUAUAAAGCCUGCCCCUCAGUUUUACCAAACGAUGAACACUACGAUGUCCUCAGCAGUCCUCAGAGUGAUCCUGGGCCCAGACAGCUGCCAAAGGGUGGUGUUUCUUACUGGCCUUCAUACAACUGUGCCUGAACUGCAGAAUGAGAUAAAAAC
This is a long non-coding RNA of Girardinichthys multiradiatus, 465 nucleotides long. RefSeq lists it as uncharacterized. The record is from RefSeq and is a predicted model, not a curated record. Lineage: Eukaryota; Metazoa; Chordata; Actinopteri; Cyprinodontiformes; Goodeidae. The transcript has 4 exons.